UAGGGAAUCUUCGGCAAUGGACGAAAGUCUGACCGAGCAACGCCGCGUGAGUGAAGAAGGUUUUCGGAUCGUAAAACUCUGUUGUUAGAGAAGAACAAGGACGUUAGUAACUGAACGUCCCCUGACGGUAUCUAACCAGAAAGCCACGGCUAACUACGUGCCAGCAGCCGCGGUAAUACGUAGGUGGCAAGCGUUGUCCGGAUUUAUUGGGCGUAAAGCGAGCGCAGGCGGUUUCUUAAGUCAGAUGUGAAAGCCCCCGGCUCAACCGGGGAGGGUCAUUGGAAACUGGGUGACUUGAGUGCAGAAGAGGAGAGUGGAAUUCCAGGUGUGGCGGUGAAAUGCGUAGAUAUAUGGAGGAACACCAGUGGCGAAGGCGGCUCUCUGGUCUGUAACUGACGCUGAGGCUCGAAAGCGUGGGGAGCAAACAGG
Molecule: ribosomal RNA, 429 nt
Filed under: Gemmatimonadota bacterium
Lineage: Bacteria; Pseudomonadati; Gemmatimonadota
Description: Gemmatimonadetes bacterium partial 16S ribosomal RNA
Rfam family: Bacterial small subunit ribosomal RNA
Source: RNAcentral